Molecule: transfer RNA, 27 nt
Filed under: Oulophyllia bennettae
Lineage: Eukaryota; Metazoa; Cnidaria; Anthozoa; Scleractinia; Merulinidae
Description: partial tRNA-Met
Source: RNAcentral
AUGUCCGGUUUGUAAGAAAGACUAAGG